This 250-nucleotide ribosomal RNA is filed under the name uncultured bacterium. Its description in RNAcentral is "partial 16S ribosomal RNA". It matches the Rfam family "Bacterial small subunit ribosomal RNA", at positions 524 to 773 of the family's 1533-position model. The record is from RNAcentral.
UACGUAGGGUGCAAGCGUUGUUCGGAAUUAUUGGGCGUAAAGCGUGCGUAGGUGGGCUUAUAAGUCAGGUGUGAAAUCCCACAGCUUAACUGUGGAAUUGCGCUUGAAACUAUAAGUCUAGAGGAUGGCAGAGGUAGGUGGAAUUCCUAGUGUAGAGGUGAAAUUCAUAGAUACUAGGAGGAAUACUCGUGGCGAAGGCGGCCUACUGGGCCACGCCUGACACUGAGGCACGAAAGCAUGGGGAUCAAAC